AUCCUGGUCGGACAUCAGGAGGUUAGUGCAAUGGCAUAAGCCAGCUUGACUGCGAGCGUGACGGCGCGAGCAGGUGCGAAAGCAGGUCAUAGUGAUCCGGUGGUUCUGAAUGGAAGGGCCAUCGCUCAACGGAUAAAAGGUACUCCGGGGAUAACAGGCUGAUACCGCCCAAGAGUUCAUAUCGACGGCGGUGUUUGGCACCUCGAUGUCGGCUCAUCACAUCCUGGGGCUGAAGUAGGUCCCAAGGGUAUGGCUGUUCGCCAUUUAAAGUGGUACGCGAGCUGGGUUUAGAACGUCGUGAGACAGUUCGGUCCCUAUCUGCCGUGGGCGCUGGAGAACUGAGGGGGGCUGCUCCUAGUACGAGAGGACCGGAGUGGACGCAUCACUGGUGUUCGGGUUGUCAUGCCAAUGGCACUGCCCGGUAGCUAAAUGCGGAAGAGAUAAGUGCUGAAAGCAUCUAAGCACGAAACUUGCCCCGAGAUGAGUUCUCCCUGACUCCUUGAGAGUCCUGAAGGAACGUUGAAGACGACGACGUUGAUAGGCCGGGUGUGUAAGCGCAGCGAUGCGUUGAGCUAACCGGUACUAAUGAACCGUGAGGCUUAACCUUACAACGCCGAAGGUGUUU
This 625-nucleotide ribosomal RNA is filed under the name Escherichia coli. RNAcentral describes it as "partial 23S ribosomal RNA". It matches the Rfam family "Bacterial large subunit ribosomal RNA", at positions 2324 to 2925 of the family's 2925-position model. Lineage: Bacteria; Pseudomonadati; Pseudomonadota; Gammaproteobacteria; Enterobacterales; Enterobacteriaceae. The record is from RNAcentral.